Molecule: ribosomal RNA, 939 nt
Filed under: Panaeolus subbalteatus
Lineage: Eukaryota; Fungi; Basidiomycota; Agaricomycetes; Agaricales
Description: LSU rRNA
Rfam family: Eukaryotic large subunit ribosomal RNA
Source: RNAcentral
GCAUAUCAAUAAGCGGAGGAAAAGAAACUAACAAGGAUUCCCCUAGUAACUGCGAGUGAAGCGGGAAAAGCUCAAAUUUAAAAUCUGGCAGUCUUUGAUUGUCCGAGUUGUAAUCUAGAGAAGCAUUAUCCGCGCUGGACCGUGUACAAGUCUCCUGGAAUGGAGCGUCAUAGAGGGUGAGAAUCCCGUCUUUGACACGGACUGCCAGGGCUUUGUGAUGUGCUCUCAAAGAGUCGAGUUGUUUGGGAAUGCAGCUCAAAAUGGGUGGUAAAUUCCAUCUAAAGCUAAAUAUUGGCGAGAGACCGAUAGCGAACAAGUACCGUGAGGGAAAGAUGAAAAGAACUUUGGAAAGAGAGUUAAACAGUACGUGAAAUUGCUGAAAGGGAAACGCUUGAAGUCAGUCGCGUUGGCCGGGAAUCAACCUUGCUUUUGCUGGGCGUACUUCCUGGUUAACGGGUCAGCAUCAAUUUUGACCGUUGGAUAAAGUUGUUGGGAAUGUGGCAUCUUCGGAUGUGUUAUAGCCCAGUUUCGUAUACAACGGUUGGGAUUGAGGAACUCAGCACGCCGCAAGGCCGGGUUUUUAACCACGUUCGUGCUUAGGAUGCUGGCAUAAUGGCUUUAAUCGACCCGUCUUGAAACACGGACCAAGGAGUCUAACAUGCCUGCGAGUGUUUGGGUGGAAAACCCGAGCGCGUAAUGAAAGUGAAAGUUGAGAUCCCUGUCGUGGGGAGCAUCGACGCCCGGACUUGAACUUUUGUGACGGAUCCGCGGUAGAGCAUGUAUGUUGGGACCCGAAAGAUGGUGAACUAUGCCUGAAUAGGGUGAAGCCAGAGGAAACUCUGGUGGAGGCUCGUAGCGAUUCUGACGUGCAAAUCGAUCGUCAAAUUUGGGUAUAGGGGCGAAAGACUAAUCGAACCAUCUAGUAGCUGGUUCCUGCGA